This 229-nucleotide ribosomal RNA is filed under the name uncultured bacterium. Its description in RNAcentral is "partial 16S ribosomal RNA". It matches the Rfam family "Bacterial small subunit ribosomal RNA", at positions 568 to 796 of the family's 1533-position model. The record is from RNAcentral.
UGCGCAGGCGGAAUGAUAAGUCAGUGGUGAAAGCCUACAGCUUAACUGUAGAAAUGCCAUUGAUACUGUCGUUCUUGAGUACAGUUGAAGUGGGCGGAAUGUGUCAUGUAGCGGUGAAAUGCAUAGAUAUGACACAGAACACCGAUAGCGAAGGCAGCUCACUAAGCUGAAACUGACGCUCAGGCACGAAAGCGUGGGGAGCGAACAGGAUUAGAUACCCUGGUAGUCC